AUCAAUUCCAAUUCCCAUUCCAUUUUAACAAACUAUAACAUACACUAACUCAACUUCUAACUUCACAUUCAAAUCCAACACUAGCAGUCCUUUUUUUUUUACACUACAACAACUGACUUUCAUCACGGCUAACUAAUUCAAAUAGGAUUAACAGAACUCAACAGAAUCUAACAGAGUUAUCCUUCUAACUGUUUUUCCCUUGGGAAAUUUAACAGAGUGAACUACCCUAACGGAGCUACCCGAAUUGCCCAUUUCAGUUACGUUUCAAACUUCUAUAAAAUUCAACUCUCAUCAUUCACAAAAAGGGGGAUUCAAGGAUUUUUUGCAAUCAUUACACAAUCCAUCACAAAAUGUUCACUCUAUCUGAACUCUCCCUCUGAAUUCUCAUGCUCACCACUCUCAACCACAAUAUCAUAAAGCAAGCAAGACAACAGAAAAGAAGGGACAAAUUCCUACAGACUAAGAAUUUGGAGAAGAAGAAAAAGAAGCUCAGGGUAGUAGAAGAAGGUUGAAAGUUCGAGUUUCUUACCUCUGAUUUCUGUCGUCUUCAUCAGCUUCAAGAUACGACAGUUUCCACAUCGACCUCUGCCUUGAAGUUCGAAGAAUGCUUUAAGUUUUUGUUGAAAUUGUUGAGGGAAAUGGAAAAAGGAGAUGGACAUGAGUCUA
Molecule: long non-coding RNA, 666 nt
Organism: Lathyrus oleraceus (garden pea)
Lineage: Eukaryota; Viridiplantae; Streptophyta; Magnoliopsida; Fabales; Fabaceae
Exons: 2
Source: RefSeq, a predicted model, not a curated record